RNAcentral lists this ribosomal RNA (492 nucleotides) under uncultured bacterium. RNAcentral describes it as "partial 16S ribosomal RNA". It matches the Rfam family "Bacterial small subunit ribosomal RNA", at positions 29 to 507 of the family's 1533-position model. The record is from RNAcentral.
AGUGAACGCUGGCGGUAGGCCUAACACAUGCAAGUCGAACGGCAGCACAGUAAGAGCUUGCUCUUACGGGUGGCGAGUGGCGGACGGGUGAGGAAUACAUCGGAAUCUACUUUUUCGUGGGGGAUAACGCAGGGAAACUUACGCUAAUACCGCAUACGACCUACGGGUGAAAGCAGGGGAUCUUCGGACCUUGCGCGAUUGAAUGAGCCGAUGUCGGAUUAGCUAGUUGGCGGGGUAAAGGCCCACCAAGGCGACGAUCCGUAGCUGGUCUGAGAGGAUGAUCAGCCACACUGGAACUGAGACACGGUCCAGACUCCUACGGGAGGCAGCAGUGGGGAAUAUUGGACAAAGGGCGCAAGCCUGAUCCAGCCAUACCGCGUGGGUGAAGAAGGCCUUCGGGUUGUGAAGCCCUUUUGUUGGGAAAGAAAAGCAGCAGGUUAAUACCCCGCUGUUCUGACGGUACCCAAAGAAUAAGCACCGGCUAACUUCGUG